ACACCACCUUGCAUUCCUCGCGCCGAGGCCCAGGAAAACCGGGCAGCACAAUGCUCUGGAGCCCUGGCCCCUCCCGGGGUCUGAUAAAUGAUUGCCAGAAGAGGGGGGGCCGAGAAACAGCCAGGGACUGUUCCAAAUGAAGCAAGGGUUGUUCACAAGUGACCAAAGGGCAGAAACCAUUUUGUUGGAGAGAAAAGCUUUGUUAGCAAACAGCCACUCUUGGCAAAAAUUCAAGAGGACAUCAUUUCAAUAGAAGCCAUGCCAAUUAAGAGGGAAAUGUUACAACCAGAAAACAAGCAAGCUGGGGGAGUCCACUUCCUCCUUGCUCUCUCUCUUCAACGGAGCUACGGAUUGCCUACUGCUUGUGCACUUGUAGGGCAGGAAUUGCAGGACCCUUCCACGGCCCUGGGCCCCAGGUUCCCAGGUAUCACACAUCCCUCAGCACCUUGGGACUCAUUGGCAAAUUGCCCUCCAAAGCCUUUCUAGAAGAAUUCAGCUGAAAUAAAACCCAAGAAUGCAUUUUU
Long non-coding RNA from Equus quagga, 524 nucleotides. RefSeq lists it as uncharacterized. The record is from RefSeq and is a predicted model, not a curated record. Lineage: Eukaryota; Metazoa; Chordata; Mammalia; Perissodactyla; Equidae. The transcript has 2 exons.